RNAcentral lists this ribosomal RNA (269 nucleotides) under uncultured bacterium. Its description in RNAcentral is "partial 16S ribosomal RNA". The record is from RNAcentral.
UAGGUAAAGUCGUAACAAGGUAACCGUAAGUCGUAACAAGGUAACCGUAGAGUUUGAUCAUGGCUCAGGUAGAGAAAUGCCGCCAGCACGACGACCAGCACGAACAAAAGUCGUAACAAGGUAACCGUAAGUCGUAACAAGGUAACCGUAGAGUUUGAUCAUGGCUCAGGCUUUGACUUAAAAAAGUGGACAAGUCGUAAUAAGGGGACCGUAAGUCGUAACAUGGUAGCCGUAGAGUUUGAUCCUGGCUCACGAAAGUCGUAACCAAA